RNAcentral lists this long non-coding RNA (357 nucleotides) under Gallus gallus (chicken). The record is from RNAcentral. Lineage: Eukaryota; Metazoa; Chordata; Aves; Galliformes; Phasianidae.
GGAAUUAGAACCUUCUACAAUAUAUGUUGCUACAUAAAAUACUUAUUCAUGAUCAAGAUCAGAGAAUCUGCUGAAAACAUCUACAGAAGGUUGAUGCACCAUAUAUUUGCAGAUGGGAAUGGAAAAAAAUAUCUAUAGCAAUGCAUUGAAAGAAGAGAAAAAUAUGAAUCUCUGGUUUACCUUCUACAAGGCAGUACAUGUUUCAAGAUUCUCCCCAGAAAUUCAAGUUGGGAAUGUGUUGAAAAAGUUUCAGUGUAAACACCCUCCUAGUCAUCAAUGUUGAGUUGUUUCAUAGCUUUAGAAUUUCACUGGUUUUUUUGAUGAGUUAAUUAUUGUUCCAACUCUGACAAUGCCAAC